RNAcentral lists this ribosomal RNA (433 nucleotides) under uncultured bacterium. RNAcentral's name for it is "partial 16S ribosomal RNA". It matches the Rfam family "Bacterial small subunit ribosomal RNA", at positions 29 to 507 of the family's 1533-position model. The record is from RNAcentral.
AACGAACGCUGGCGGCAUGCCUAACACAUGCAAGUCGAACGAGACCUUCGGGUCUAGUGGCGCACGGGUGCGUAACGCGUGGGAACCUGCCCUUAGGUUCGGAAUAACUCCCCGAAAGGGGUGCUAAUACCGGCUAAUGUCUUCGGACCAAAGAUUUAUCGCCUUUGGAUGGGCCCGCGUUGGAUUAGCUAGUUGGUAGGGUAAAUGCCUACCAAGGCGACGAUCCAUAGCUGGUCUGAGAGGAUGAUCAACCACACUGGGACUGAGACACGGCCCAGACUCCUACGGGAGGCAGCAGUGGGGAAUAUUGGACAAUGGGCGAAAGCCUGAUCCAGCAAUGCCGCGUGAGUGAUGAAGGCCUUAGGGUUGUAAAGCUCUUUUACCCGGGAUGAUAAUGACAGUACCGGGAGAAUAAGCUCCGGCUAACUCCGUG